Molecule: ribosomal RNA, 440 nt
Filed under: uncultured bacterium
Lineage: Bacteria
Description: partial 16S ribosomal RNA
Rfam family: Bacterial small subunit ribosomal RNA
Source: RNAcentral
CCUACGGGUGGCAGCAGUGGGGAAUAUUGGACAAUGGGGGAAACCCUGAUCCAGCGACGCCGCGUGAGUGAAGAAGUAUUUCGGUACGUAAAGCUCUAUCAGCAGGAAAGAAAAUGACGGUACCUGACUAAGAAGCCCCGGCUAACUACGUGCCAGCAGCCGCGGUAAUACGUAGGGGGCAAGCGUUAUCCGGAAUUACUGGGUGUAAAGGGAGCGUAGACGGUUAAGUAAGUCUGGAGUGAAAGGCCGGGGCUCAACCCCGGGACUGCUCUGGAAACUAUUUAACUUGAGUGCAGGAGAGGUAAGCGGAAUUCCUAGUGUAGCGGUGAAAUGCGUAGAUAUUAGGAGGAACACCAGUGGCGAAGGCGGCUUACUGGACUGUAACUGACGUUGAGGCUCGAAAGCGUGGGGAGCAAACAGGAUUAGAUACCCUUGUAGUC